This 680-nucleotide long non-coding RNA is filed under the name Capsella rubella. Its description in RNAcentral is "long non-coding RNA (CRUB_LNC003376)". Lineage: Eukaryota; Viridiplantae; Streptophyta; Magnoliopsida; Brassicales; Brassicaceae. The record is from RNAcentral.
UACAGUGACAUGUGUCCUACAUCAAAUUAUAUACUAUAGUAGAAAGAUUAUGUGUAACUAAAUUGAUUCAUAUAAUUAUUCUUCAAAUGAUAACUUGUCAAUUUUGUCUUACAUCAUCUCUUAAGGCGAAAUAAGAGCCAAACAAUUCUUUUGUUUAUUUAAAAAUAUGAAAAAAAAACUCUUCGAAAAGAUGGGUCCAAACACUUGUCAAUUAUGCAUAUACUCUUCAGAGUUGUGUUAACAUCACUCCCAGAUUUUAGCGUAUGAUCAGAUAACGCUUCAAAGUUCAAACCAACGGUCUCUCGCGCACAAGUAGUCGCAUAUAAAAUACAAAUAUCUAUAUAUAAAUCUAUGGAUAUACCAAAUUAAUUAUGACAUAUAUUCCAAGCAACUAAAAAGAUAAUAAAGGAACCGUUGAAACUCACAAGUCACAAGCCAAUGGAAAUUAAAUAAAAUUUGCGGACACGAGAUUCCACCAAAAAAAAAAAAAAAAAUGUUUACAAGUUUUUUUUUUUUUCUUUUUUUUUGGACAAAAAUGUUUACAAGUUAAGACAUAUCACUAUACAAGUAAAAAUAAUACUUGUAAAACAAAACGUUUGAUUUUGAGUUAUUCAAUCUCGAGUUACAUGUUAAACUAAGAAUUGAUUUGCCGAAUAUAUUAGAAUAUUAAAAUCAUUUUU